This 253-nucleotide ribosomal RNA is filed under the name uncultured bacterium. RNAcentral describes it as "partial 16S ribosomal RNA". It matches the Rfam family "Bacterial small subunit ribosomal RNA", at positions 524 to 776 of the family's 1533-position model. The record is from RNAcentral.
CACGAACCGCGCGCACGUUGUUCGGAAUCACUGGGCUUAAAGGGCGCGUAGGCGGUCGGCCAAGUCCGGGGUGAAAUCUUUCGGCUCAACCGGAAAAUAGCCUUGGAUACUGGUCGACUUGAGGGAGGCAGGGGCAUGUGGAACUUCCGGUGGAGCGGUGAAAUGUGUUGAUAUCGGAAGGAACACCGGUGGCGAAAGCGACGUGCUGGACCUCUUCUGACGCUGAGGCGCGAAAGCCAGGGGAGCAAACGGG